ACUACACUUCACUUGAUCUCCACACGCACUACUAUGCUACUGUUCAGGCUGGUGAAAUAUGAGGAUUCAGUCAAACUCUGAGAUUUCAGAGCGUCGAUGGCUGAAUUUGAAAAUUGAGGAAGACUUCUAAAAUGUCUUGUUGGUAACAGCUGGAGACCUCAGCCAAAGUACGUAGGGCACCACCAACUUUUUUAUAAAUGUUGCUGUCUGAACACAUUUACCAUGUAAGUAAUUCAGCCUUAUGUCUGACUACAGGAAUAUACUCAUCACAGCUUAACUGUAAUGGAGACUGCAGACUCCAGUCUCGCUAAUGAGGCAGCUCAGAACUGCAGAUAUCCUGGACAGUGACGUUCAAAUGAAUACACUGCAGAAGAAGAAAUAGUGUAUCGCCACAGAGUACGGGAUAAUUACUACAGAACAGGUAUAUCAGUCUUACACGAAGAUGAGUUUGAAGCUUACAGGUUACUCGGAAGUGCCCAGGAGCUAGGCGUAUUGAAUAUACACCAGUGCGUAGACUGCAGUUCUAGGCACAUGCUGAUUGCAAGGGGGGGUGUCCGUGGCACCAACACUCUGGGAACUGGCCCCUUCAACAGUCAGUUCACACGGGCACAGGUAUGUCAGUCUGAAGGUCAGUGUUGGCCGAAGACGGAAAGACACGUAGGCAUUUUCAGGCCAUCCCCUUGUGCUCCAGUCCUCUCCUCGUCCCCCAUCCCCACACAGAUUCUACCACAAAAGGCCUAAAAAGCCUUUGUGGUUUUAAAGAUGAGCUGUGGAGUCCACAGUGUAGACCUUAUGGCAGGUACCCAGGCAAUAAAAACAUUAUGACAGGUACUUAUGCAAAAAAGUUUGUUUUCUAGGAUGUCUUUAUGCAUCUAGUCUGCAGGUUAGACCUCCUGUCUAAGCUCUGGACAUGCUUACGGAUGUUCAGCCCUGUGGCUUUCAUACCAAAAAGAGAUCCCGCUCCCUUACAAGCCACACAAAUGCUGACAUUCACUUCCAUGCGAGCAAAUUCAAGCACUAUAAUUAUAGAUAUCUUGCUCCGCUUUUAACCUCUUUAACUCAGUUUUGUUCUGUCCAUAUUUACAGAGACUGGCUAUCGGACACGGCAAAUGGAGCAAUUAUCUACGUACAUGUCCCUUCACUGAAUAAACACACUCAGGUAGCAUUUCCCUAGAUAUUCUCCACACUUAAUGUAACUUUUGAAUUUGUAGCCACAUUUUAAACAAAUAGCCAAACGAACAAACAUACAUUAAUUAGAACUCUUAAAAUCUAAUCACAUCUCCCGGUACCCAUUCAUUCCUGAUGCACACCUCCUGCUUACAGUGGCUCAGAGAGCAGUAUUUGCAACCAGCAUUUGCAAGUAACUCCAUGAAGUGCUCAGGCCCAUACACGUGCCUCAACAUUUUGCCAAUAGAAACUUUUAAAUGAAACAAUAUUCUUAAUAUCAGAGCCAGAUACUAAAUCUGCAGCGUGACUGGGGUGCAUAGGCAACUCUUGUAACAGCAGUAAGAUUCCAGUAAAAUUGCAGUUGGUUGCAAUCCAACCUUUAUGCUGUUAUCUGUCGUUGAGAUAUAUAUAGAUGACCCUGUGUGGCCUAACUGCAAAUAUCAAAUGUAUUUUUACAAGUUAGCAACAGCCUUUUUUGACAUUGCCUCGAGAUGUCCUCUACAUUGUGACUGACAAGCACAAAAAUAAUUCAUUAUACAGUAUGCUUUAAAAGCCUUUUUCUACAUUUGGCUUUUACUGUUGCUUGUUUCUGAGCUGUCUUCUAUUGCUGAGAUUUGCUGUCCCUGGCCGCCUUGAUUUCUUUCUUAGUUUUUAAUUGCUGGUUGGACAUGCUAGUGGCAUCUCCCAGGCAAACCCUUUCUACAUAAUUAGUUUUGAAACUUGGAUGAGUCAUUGGGCUCUAACUACUAUGCCUCUAUUAUUCUAACUUGAAUACAGCACAUCUCAAAGAUUUUGGCCUCUUUUUGCAGUUGUGGAAAUUCAUAGGAUGGCAUCGUUGCAAGUCUUGAUCCAUUUGCUUUCUAUUGUGAGUUUCCAGGGUUUUUUCACAAUAUAAAGCACAUUUCAAAGCAUAACAGUGUUGCGAACCAGCCUCCUCUCCCAGUGGUGCAGAUAAUGUUCUGCUUUUUUGGCAGCUGAAUAAAGCAAUGCCAUAUUUAUGACAAAAGUUAAUGAAAAUAUGUAAAAUUAAAAAUACUUCAUGUAGUUUUCAUUUUCUUUU
Aptenodytes forsteri (emperor penguin) is the source of this 2227-nucleotide long non-coding RNA. RefSeq lists it as uncharacterized. The transcript has 4 exons. The record is from RefSeq and is a predicted model, not a curated record. NCBI's taxonomy places the organism in Eukaryota, Metazoa, Chordata, Aves, Sphenisciformes, Spheniscidae.